Gossypium hirsutum (cotton) is the source of this 146-nucleotide non-coding RNA. The record is from Rfam. NCBI's taxonomy places the organism in Eukaryota, Viridiplantae, Streptophyta, Magnoliopsida, Malvales, Malvaceae.
UGUUAAAAAUUUCAUCUAUUUUUACUGUUAAAAAUUGGUAUGACUAACGGAAUAACUAGACAGUUACACGUGGCAUGCCACAUGUACCUCAUUCUAGUGUACAGGAAUCAAUUUUUUAACAAUAGAAAUAAAUGAAAUUUUUAACA